Molecule: ribosomal RNA, 468 nt
Filed under: uncultured bacterium
Lineage: Bacteria
Description: partial 16S ribosomal RNA
Rfam family: Bacterial small subunit ribosomal RNA
Source: RNAcentral
GACGAACGCUGGCGGCGUGCUUAACACAUGCAAGUCGAACGGAAAGGCCCUGCUUUUGUGGGGUGCUCGAGUGGCGAACGGGUGAGUAACACGUGAGUAACCUGCCCUUGACUUUGGGAUAACUUCAGGAAACUGGGGCUAAUACCGGAUAGGAGCUCCUGCUGCAUGGUGGGGGUUGGAAAGUUUCGGCGGUUGGGGAUGGACUCGCGGCUUAUCAGCUUGUUGGGGGGGUAGUGGCUUACCAAGGCUUUGACGGGUAGCCGGCCUGAGAGGGUGACCGGCCACAUUGGGACUGAGAUACGGCCCAGGCUCCUACGGGAGGCAGCAGUGGGGAAUAUUGCACAAUGGGCGGAAGCCUGAUGCAGCAACGCCGCGUGCGGGAUGAAGGCCUUAGGGUUGUAAACCGCUUUCGCCUGUGACGAAGCGUGAGUGACGGUAAUGGGUAAAGAAGCACCGGCUAACUACGUG